AUACGGGGGGUGCAAGCGUUAAUCGGAAUUACUGGGCGUAAAGGGUCCGUAGGCGGCGGGGCGUGUCGGUUGUGAAAUCUCCCGGCUUAACUGGGAGGGUGCGACCGAAACUGUUCCGCUGGAGGGCCGGAGAGGCGAGUGGAAUUGCUGGUGUAGCGGUGAAAUGCGUAGAGAUCAGCAGGAACACCGGAGGCGAAGGCGGCUCGCUGGACGGCACCUGACGCUGAGGGACGAAAGCUAGGGGAGCAAACAGGAUUAGAAACCCCGGUAGUCC
Molecule: ribosomal RNA, 274 nt
Filed under: uncultured bacterium
Lineage: Bacteria
Description: partial 16S ribosomal RNA
Rfam family: Bacterial small subunit ribosomal RNA
Source: RNAcentral